RNAcentral lists this ribosomal RNA (449 nucleotides) under uncultured bacterium. Its description in RNAcentral is "partial 16S ribosomal RNA". It matches the Rfam family "Bacterial small subunit ribosomal RNA", at positions 29 to 523 of the family's 1533-position model. The record is from RNAcentral.
AGCGAACGCUGGCGGCAGGCCUAACACAUGCAAGUCGAACGAAGUCUUCGGACUUAGUGGCGGACGGGUGAGUAACACGUGGGAACGUACCUUUUGGUUCGGAACAACUCAGGGAAACUUGAGCUAAUACCGGAUGAGCCCUUAGGGGGAAAGAUUUAUCGCCGAAAGAGCGGCCCGCGUUAGAUUAGCUAGUUGGUGAGGUAAAGGCUCACCAAUGCUACGAUCUAUAGCUGGUCUGAGAGGAUGAUCAGCCACACUGGGACUGAGACACGGACCAGACUCCUGCGGGAGGCAGCAGUGGGGAAUCUUGCGCAAUGGGCGAAAGCCUGACGCAGCCAUGCCGCGUGAAUGAUGAAGGUCUUAGGAUUGUAAAAUUCUUUUACCAGGGACGAUAAUGACGGUACCUGGAGAAAAAGCCCCGGCUAACUUCGUGCCAGCCGCCGCCGUAA